AACUGAUACUACCUGCGGGAACCUGCGGAAGGAUCAAUAGUGAGUUGGGAAUGUAAUAUUGUGAACUGUGGGGUGUAAUGGUGAUGAUUGUUAUCAUUGCUGUUACCCCUGGACAAUAACACAUAACACAAAACGAUAACAAUCAAGAUCAAAUACAAUCAAUCAAUCAAAACAACUUUUAACAAUGGAUCUCU
This 194-nucleotide unclassified non-coding RNA is filed under the name soil metagenome. RNAcentral describes it as "partial contains 5.8S ribosomal RNA, internal transcribed spacer 2, and large subunit ribosomal RNA". The record is from RNAcentral.